GGACAGGAAAGCACCUCCAAGUUACUCACCAAUAAACAAUCACAUCACCAUUUCCUCUCCUGGGCAGAAACCACUCUAUGGAAAUACAGCCUUAGGGAAUUUUCAUUAUUGUGAAUACCAUGAAAAAACAUUGGAAUAGGAGAUGUCAGUUAAGUCUCUUUUAUAACUAUCCCGAAUGCUGUGAUCAUCAUGAUAUUGCAAGUGUUUUGACAGCCAAAGCUGUCUGCUACCUUUACUGUGUGGAACCAUGAACCCUGAGCUACCCUCUAAACAAGGAAGAGGAAUUUAUCUUCAAUGGUGCCAUCCUGGGACAAGAGAUUACAUUUUGUUAAAAUAAAUCAAUAUACUUGCAGAACCAAAAAAAUGAGUGCACCUAUACCACAAGUCAUGAUGGAUGGUUAUGAUGUCACAAAUUCAAUGCUAGUGUCCCACCAAAUGCUGAAGACCAAGAACUGAAACUACUCUGCAAUUGUCCAAAUUAUAGUGAACAUCAGAUAAAAGUUCUGCUUUGAAAGCAGUCAAAUUCCACUUGUUGCAAAUCCCUAAAACACACGAAUGCCACGAGGGACGGCUGCUGGGCAAGAGUGUAGAAAUGGAUCCGGUCAGACCCAUUACUGCUACUGGAAAAGCACAUGUCCUCCUGAGGGGUAUAAACUGCUUUGGAAGGACUUUUUUCUUCCUGAUUCCUGGCUGGAGCUGGAGACAAGAUUACGGAAAUACCUCCAGAGUGGUUAUUUCUAUCCAUACUGAAAUGAGAAAUUUGGGUAUGCUUAGCUAAACAUUCAAGUGCUUUAGUUUGCUCCCUUCACUAUUGAUAAUCCCAUCAUCUGUGUCUCACACAGAAAACUUUAACUUCACACUUCAGAAAUUUGGGGUUUUAUUUUAUUUCCUUAUAAAGUCCUCCUGAGGUGAAUCCUAACACAUUGAGGUCAUGUCAGUUGCCUUCUGCUACACAAGAAGAUGUUUCACUCCUAAAAUGUGCCACUAGACCCACUGACAUGUGUGUCAGCCUUGAAAUGGGGCCAUUUGUGCUCCAAAUCCCAAAUGACCGAUGACUGGGUUCAGAGUCUUCUCCAAACUGCUACUCUCAUGUAGGGAAAUAAAAACCCUAUACAGGAGGAGAUGCAGAGUUUCCUUUUAACCUUUGGGUUUGUUCUCUAUCUCUAUUUUUCAUAGUAAUUCACUUGAAAGUGAUACGUGAUAGACACAUACAAGAAGCAUCCCAAUUUCUUUCCCUAAUGACUAAAUCUCCAAAAUUAUCUGUUAAAAACCUUUAUCCUUUUUUAAAAUAUUUUAUUUAUGUAUUUGAGAGGUAGAGUAACAGACAGUGAGAGAGAGAGAGAGAGAAAGGUCUUCCUUCCAUUG
Oryctolagus cuniculus (rabbit) is the source of this 1365-nucleotide non-coding RNA. NCBI's taxonomy places the organism in Eukaryota, Metazoa, Chordata, Mammalia, Lagomorpha, Leporidae. The record is from RefSeq and is a predicted model, not a curated record.